UAAGCUGUGGCUCAAUAUUAGAGUGAAUAUCUCAAAAUAUGAGGUCCUGAGUUCAAACCUCAGUACCAUAA
RNAcentral lists this transfer RNA (71 nucleotides) under Dipodomys ordii (Ord's kangaroo rat). It matches the Rfam family "tRNA". From Rfam's summary of the family: Transfer RNA (tRNA) molecules are approximately 80 nucleotides in length. Their secondary structure includes four short double-helical elements and three loops (D, anti-codon, and T loops). Lineage: Eukaryota; Metazoa; Chordata; Mammalia; Rodentia; Heteromyidae. The record is from Rfam by way of RNAcentral.